AAGUCGUAACAAGGUAUCCGUAGGUGAACCUGCGGAUGGAUCAUUAUCGAAUAAUCCACACACCCCAACUUUGUAUGUUUUGGCGGGCGCUUCGGCGAGACCCGCAUUUUAACUCGCAAACUUUGACGAAACAGCUUUGAGAACAACUUUUAACAAUGGAUCUCUUGGCUCUC
This 173-nucleotide unclassified non-coding RNA is filed under the name fungal sp. Its description in RNAcentral is "partial internal transcribed spacer region". The stretch from base 1 to 46 matches the Rfam family "Eukaryotic small subunit ribosomal RNA", at positions 1786 to 1831 of the family's 1831-position model. The record is from RNAcentral. RNAcentral also lists the same sequence under 1 other name. Lineage: Eukaryota; Fungi.